UGGGGAAUCUUGCACAAUGGGGGAAACCCUGAUGCAGCGACGCCGCGUGAACGAUGAAGCCCUUCGGGGUGUAAAGUUCUUUCGACAGGAACGAUAAUGACGGUACCUGGAGAAGAAGCUGCGGCUAACUACGUGCCAGCAGCCGCGGUAAUACGUAGGCAGCGAGCGUUGUUCGGAGUUACUGGGCGUAAAGAGUGCGUAGGCGGCGAGCCAAGUUUGGUGUGAAAUCUCCCGGCUUAACCGGGAGGGUGCGCCGAAAACUGGUUGGCUGGAGUAUGGGAGAGGAAAGCGGAAUUCCGGGUGUAGCGGUGAAAUGCGUAGAUAUCAGGAGGAACACCUGCGGUGUAGACAGCUUUCUGGACCAAAACUGACGCUGAGGCACGAAAGCGUGGGUAGCAAACA
RNAcentral lists this ribosomal RNA (402 nucleotides) under uncultured bacterium. RNAcentral's name for it is "bacterial SSU rRNA". It matches the Rfam family "Bacterial small subunit ribosomal RNA", at positions 355 to 774 of the family's 1533-position model. The record is from RNAcentral.